CCACGGCCGAGAAGUGCCACCUCCCUGCCUGCACAAUCGCUAGUGCUGGCAUCUGUGCACGCCUGGUCGGUGCCAGCUGUCCUCCUCAGUUUUGGAGGGAGUGUUGUGGUGGUCAUUCCAGGGCAGCGGAUGCUGCAGAGGGUGUCAAACUGAGCGCAAAGUCAAUUAUCUGUGGGCAACCCUGGAAGGCACCUCCUUAGACCACCCCAUGUGCUUCAGGUGACCCAGGAGGGCCUGUGCUGGCACCAGCAGCACCACCAGGACAGAUGUUGCAGUCAAAGAUAACUGGUGCCACCUGAGCAAGCCCAUAUCACCCAGCUCCUCACCAAUCCCACUCCUCCACAGGCCGUCCUAAAGGGUAUGUGAAGCCUUUACAGACUUUCUCUCAUUUUUUGAGGUCUUUUGCUUCAGGGGCUCCUGCUUGUACCACCUGAUUAGUGACCAGCUGUGGCUCCACCACUUUCAUGCUAAGAAAUUUGUGUUUGCAGCCCUCAGAGAAGAUGCAUCAUUGGUUCUCCAAGCACUGGGACAUACACUUGAAAGGAGACCACACCAACCCAAAAUCAGGAUUUCUAACCUGCUCGUCAGGGCUCUAGCUCAAGAAGUCUCAGCCUGCUGUACCUGUGUGCUGGCCCCUUGGCAAGGAUGAUAGUGCAACACGUGCUUUGCUGAGCCAAAGCAAAAUGGCAUUGCUGCCCAUCCCUGCUGGCUGUCAGCAGGCCCAUGCGAUUUGUGUCACUGCUCUGCCAUUUCAGCAAAGGACACAGCAGCGGAUGGAAGGACACACAGCUGACUGGUGCACAGGGCCUUUCACCACUCCUUCCCAGACCAUUUCCUGGGUACUGUGCUUCUCCAGCCUGGCAAAUUUUCUUUCCAUCUACUCUUUCACCUCCCACGAGGCUACUACAGAUCCUGUCCAUGUACAAGGUUUUUGCAUUAAUGAAUUGUAGAGAAGUUUGGGAUCCUGUGAUGAAUCGUGCACUAAGGUCAUAAAAGACUUUUUAAAGUGUUUCUGAAUGUUACUGGAGACAAUCCAAAGGCAACUUUAAUUUGAAUUUUCUAUCUCAACCGUAUGAGUUUGGCAAGAGCAAAAAUACGUUCUGGGGGUAUUUUGGGGGACUUUACUCCAUGGGAGGAACGAAGAGUGCAGAACCUGAGACUUCAACUCGUCCCUAAUGAAAACAAAUGCCUUCGGCGGGGCAGAAGAUUACUGCCAAGGUCAGCAUUAACCUGGGCCGUCUGGAGUCGGGCCGGGCGGCCGGCGCUCCUGGGGCGAGGGGACAGCAAAGGGAAGGGGGCAGCCCCCUCGGGGAGCCCUGCCGGGGCCGAGCCGGCUCAGGGGCUGGCACCAGGGCCCCGUCCCUUGGCCCGCACUGCCUCCCAGCGGGCAUCGGCUGCUCCUCCUCCGUGGGGAAGGGCUGCCGGCUGAGGAAGCUGCUGCCCUAGGGCAGCUGAAGGGGAAUUGACUUAUGGCCGGGUGCCGGGCUGCUGGGAAGCAGAGCCCGGCCACACGCGGGAUCACCCUCCAGCGGGGAGCACUGUGUGGUCUUGGAUGUGCCCUUCAUUCAUGGGUAUCGGCAGGAUGUAAGCCUCCAUUUAAAAAAAAAAUAAUCGGUGGGCAACCUUACAAAUGUGAAAUCGUGUAGUAUUGACCGGCACGCAGGCAGCCCUGUCCCUGUCACUCAGCUUUGACAAGCAGCAGCAGAGCGGCUUCCCAGGGCCGCAGCCAGCUGUACGCCACCCUCUGUGCAGCGCUUUCAGCGAUUUAUUUCUUCUUCGUGAGUAUGCACCAGCACAGGAGAACAGAAAGGGAUCCCCAAAAUGGAAACUUAAGCCCAGGGAGGCUAAGCCAUGUCUUGCUGCAGUUAAGGUCUCCUGAAGUCGGGGGCUUCCACCCCCCAGCCUUGUGCAGGUGCUGUUGUCAUCCCAAAAACAGGCACUGGAGCCUUCAUGUGGAGAUGUCAGUGUGGUCGCUGCCAUCACAAAUGGGGAGGGAGCUUGGGGAAAACACCCCUGGGGCCCUCUCCUCCAGCCCUGUGGAAGUCAGAGGGCCGUGCAAACAGCUGUAAGGGUUAGAGCUGUUGCCCAUGCUGUAAGUGCUGCCUUCCCAUGCCUCGUACCUUGUAGCGUGGGGAAGGAUCACAGGGUGCUAUAUAGCACUUGCACGGGUUAUAUGAAUAAACAAAGAUUUCUGUGUCUAGGUGUGUCAGCUACAAAGGUCACUCUGUUUCUUUUUUUCCUCCAAAGUGAUCCUGUUCAGGGUGUAAUAUCCUGUUUUAUUUCUACAUUGCUUAUCAUUGAAAGUUAAUGUUCAGGAUUGCUGGAUCUGAUAUACUCACAAUGCACACAGGGAAAAAAAGAGGCUGAAAAAUGUCAAAACAAGCGGAUAUUACUGAGAGUAUAGAAAAGGCAAAAGUGUUACAUGGGGAGUAUUGUCCUUACAUCACUGUGCUUUGUGGAGGACUCAAAUAAUCAGGUUUUUGUGUGCGUGCAUGCGUGUGACAGCCUUUCAAAGGCGGAAAUAGGAUGCCUAACUUUUAAUGCAGAAAAUUAGUAACGAAAUACAUGCAAAGCUUCGGGCUGAUAAGAUCUCUGCAAUCUCCUCCAGAAUCUGCUACCCUGAAGAAAAAUGUGUUGACUUUACAGGCUUGUCCUGAACGCGCACCAGUGCCGUUCUGCCCCGGCUGCCUUCAGUAAUUAAUGGGGCCUGUGUUCGCCCGGCUGUAUGUCCAUCACUGCGCUCACACUGCGCUCGGAUUUUCACCAGCCAGUGCCCCAUCGCACACCACGAGAAAAGAGAAGCGGGGAGGACAAAUCGAUAAAGGACCCCCCCGUAUACACCCACACAGCGCUCGGGAAGCUCUGGGGCCCCUUCCCCUUUCGUUUUGCGGGGGCGCGGUGGAGCCCGGGGCUGCGGCAGGUGCAGCGGGGACCCCGCCCGGGCUGGGGGCUCGGUGCCGGUGCGGGGCUCG
Cygnus olor (mute swan) is the source of this 2972-nucleotide long non-coding RNA. RefSeq lists it as uncharacterized. Lineage: Eukaryota; Metazoa; Chordata; Aves; Anseriformes; Anatidae. The record is from RefSeq and is a predicted model, not a curated record. The transcript has 4 exons.